ACCACCUUCACUCAGCCGCUGUUUGCUGGAGUCCGGAUUGGUUAUUAUGGAGACACUGUUCAUUUCCUUAAACUCAAAUAAAUUCAUUAUUUGUGGAUGUUUUGCUGAGGUCGGGAGUUAAAGGUUCUGUCUGAUCUUGUACAGGAGUCUUAUUGAGUUUUAUCACUGAGUUUGUGUUCGAAAUAUGUAGAUUUAUACAAAACACAUAUUAGUGGAGCUUUUUGUACUAAAUAUGCCUGAGGCGUUUUCUUUAAAUGAGGCACUUGGAGGAAAUGAGCCAAAGAAAUAAAGUUGCACUUUGUGAAGUUUUAGGUGUUGCCAAAUUCAUAAAGAAGCAUUUACAAAGUCGUGUGUUGCAUUGAGUGAUGUUUUUGUUCUUUGUAAAUCAUUGUUUGGUUUUGCUGAUUCAAAUGCAUGGAGCAAAUUGACUUUGUGUUCAGAGAUGUCUUAAAGUAAUGUUGAGGUCAGUGUGUGCGGCCAUGUUUGGAGUUUCAUGGAGGAAAAAUAAACACAUACUUUCAUUUUGUGGUGUUUUGUUUUUAUUACAAGAGUGUUGUCACGAUAUGAACAUUUCAGCCUCAAAGAAAAAGAAAGACGGAGAAAAAAAUCAAUUUGAGAUGAAAAUUUCAGCAGUUUAGUUUUAAACUCAGACAUUUGUUGGAAAAACACUGCAUCUAAUUGUAAAACACUGACCCGGAAAAGUGACCCAGCAAAUUGUGAAAUGUGCUCAUAAACUCAUCCCUGUUAAGAAUUGUGAUGCUACAAAUAUGUUCGGAAAAACAAAACACCACCAGCCUCUUCUUUAAGACAUGAUUUAGUUUUGGUUUAGACCUGAUUUGAAAACAACAGCACAAAUCUUCAUUAAAAAACACAACUUUCAUACUAAAUACUUCACCCACCACUGACAAUUAGUAAAAUACACAGUUACGAUCAGACGCGGGUAGUACUCAGUUACACUUACAAGUACUUGAGUCACUUUAUGAAUAAACUGUACUUAUUGGAGUAGUUAUAUCAUUCAGUACUUUUUACUUCUAUUUCAGUAAUAUUGUUAUAUAAUAUUGUUAUGUAAAAAAUAGUUACUUGUGCCUCUGUGAGUACAUUUUAAAGUUACAAAAGCUUCAUGUCGACUUAAAAUAUGUGUAGUUUGUGUUUUGUGUCUCUUUUUCUUCAAAAGUAUUUAUUUGGGCCACUACUUUUAACUUGUACUUGAGUAAAAUUAUUUCAAAAUAACGUUACUCUUACUUGAGUAAAUAUUUCGGCUUCUCUACCCGCCUCUGGUUACGAUUAACCUCGACCGAUAGUUUGUGGGAAAUGAAGUGAACAAUAUGAAACAGUUAAAAAGACUGAUUGCUCAAAUUAUCUACAUAAAUAGUUUUAUAAUAAAAAAUCCAUGAAAUAGAAAUACUAUGUUAGAUGAUGAGGUGCAAAUAUUUACGCAACACGAUGGAACAAAUGGUCAGUAGCACGAAUGCAAUACUGCCCUCUAGUGUUUGGAAACUGCUCUUACAGACAGACGAGGAGAUGUGUGUAAAUAAAAAUCUUUCUUUGACCUUUAUUUAACCAAAUCAUAAUCAAGUUUUGUAUAGACCAAUAUCACAGCAUGAGACACCUCACAGGGCGGCAAAACUGGGAAGUUUCACUCAGAGUCAGAUUUAUUUUUUAAGGGAAGUCCUGCCCCUGAGAGGAUCCUAUUGUGCGUAUAGUAGUGGAGGAAACAGAAGUGAAUUUUAUAGAGAAAAUAAACUUAAACCUGACAAUAUUGCUGUAAAUAUCAGUCAAUCGCUUUAGAUCAGUAAUUCUCAAAGUGUGGUCCGCCAUCGCCCCCUAGUGGUCCGCGAGCCCCUUUUUCCCCGACCCCUCCACAGCGCACAUUGCGCAGGGAGUUGGGCCUUUUUGGCCAACUCUUAUCAUUUCAUCAAACUUUAAGAGUAACCACCGCAGUUUGACCUGGGCGACUGGUGUCUUUCCUUUUUGAGGGACAGAGCUGGAAAUGUUACGGAUGCACAUGGAGGCGCACAGCGGGCACUUUUCAGAACCGAAUCAGAACCGUGCGCAAUGUUUCUUCAUCCCGUUUGUCAAAGUGUAGCUAUUGUAAAACACGCAGAUUUUACACACGGCUGUGGGCAUUAGCGCACAUGAUGCGUGGGUUUCGGGUUCCCCCGCGGUCCCUGCAGACUGCCCAUGGAUCUGGUUGGGUCAUAAU
This is a long non-coding RNA of Neogobius melanostomus (round goby), 2203 nucleotides long. The record is from Ensembl. NCBI's taxonomy places the organism in Eukaryota, Metazoa, Chordata, Actinopteri, Gobiiformes, Gobiidae.